This 310-nucleotide ribosomal RNA is filed under the name Ischnocnema oea (Espirito Santo robber frog). RNAcentral's name for it is "partial large subunit ribosomal RNA". It matches the Rfam family "Bacterial large subunit ribosomal RNA", at positions 1919 to 2326 of the family's 2925-position model. Lineage: Eukaryota; Metazoa; Chordata; Amphibia; Anura; Brachycephalidae. The record is from RNAcentral.
UUAAUUAAACGGCCGCGGUACCCUAACCGCGCAAAGGUAGCACAAUCACUUGUCUCCUAAUUAGGGACUAGUAUGAAAGGACCCACGAGAGUUUAACUGUCUCCUUUUUUUAAUCUGUGAAACUAAUCUCCCUGUGAAAAAGCAGGGAUUUUAUUAUAAGACGAGAAGACCCUAUGGAGCUUUAGAUAAAGUAAUAUUUCCUUUUCCUCACUCUUUCCAGAAAACAUUAAUUAAAGUAUAUUAUUACAUACCUUCGGUUGGGGCGACCGCGGAGUAAAAUUUACCCUCCACGCUGAAUGGGAACCCCCCC